RNAcentral lists this ribosomal RNA (331 nucleotides) under uncultured bacterium. Its description in RNAcentral is "bacterial SSU rRNA". It matches the Rfam family "Bacterial small subunit ribosomal RNA", at positions 1 to 334 of the family's 1533-position model. The record is from RNAcentral.
GUGAGUAGUUCAGAGUUUGAUCCUGGCUCAGGAUGAACGCUGGCGGCAUGCCUAAUACAUGCAAGUCGAGCGAGAGCAGCAAUACUCUAGCGGCGAACGGGUGAGUAACACGUAGGUAAUCUACCCUUAAGACGAGGAUACCAUCGGGAAACUGAUGUUAAGACUGGAUAGGACAAUAUAUAGGGAAACCUAAAUUGUUUAAAGGAGAAAUCCACUUAAGGAGGAGCCUGCGGCGCAUUAGCUAGUUGGUGGGGUAAAGGCCUACCAAGGCGAUGAUGCGUAGCCGGUCUGAGAGGACGAACGGCCACAUUGGGACUGAGACACGGCCCAA